Molecule: ribosomal RNA, 109 nt
Filed under: uncultured eukaryote
Lineage: Eukaryota
Description: partial small subunit ribosomal RNA
Source: RNAcentral
UCGCUACGAGGGACGGCGCCAUUUACUGAAAUUACUGGACCGAGGCUGCUCCAGGUUCGCCUGGGUAGUUUUGGAAAUUUACUUUAAGUUGAUGGCGUGGACCACGUAA